RNAcentral lists this ribosomal RNA (253 nucleotides) under uncultured prokaryote. RNAcentral describes it as "partial 16S ribosomal RNA". It matches the Rfam family "Bacterial small subunit ribosomal RNA", at positions 525 to 777 of the family's 1533-position model. The record is from RNAcentral.
ACGAAGGGUGCAAGCGUUACUCGGAAUUACUGGGCGUAAAGCGUGCGUAGGCGGUUUGUUAAGUCCGUUGUGAAAGCCCUGGGCUCAACCUGGGAAUUGCAGUGGAUACUGGCGAGCUAGAGUGCGGUAGAGGAUGGUGGAAUUCCCGGUGUAGCGGUGAAAUGCGUAGAGAUCGGGAGGAACACCCGUGGCGAAGGCGGCCAUCUGGACCAGCACUGACGCUGAGGCACGAAAGCGUGGGGAGCAAACAGGA